GGGUUGUGAGGUUAAGCGACUAAGCGUACACGGUGGAUGCCCUGGCAGUCAGAGGCGAUGAAGGACGUGCUAAUCUGCGAUAAGCGUCGGUAAGGUGAUAUGAACCGUUAUAACCGGCGAUUUCCGAAUGGGGAAACCCAGUGUGAUUCGUCACACUAUCAUUAACUGAAUCCAUAGGUUAAUGAGGCGAACCGGGGGAACUGAAACAUCUAAGUACCCCGAGGAAAAGAAAUCAACCGAGAUUCCCCCAGUAGCGGCGAGCGAACGGGGAGGAGCCCAGAGCCUGAAUCAGUGUGUGUGUUAGUGGAAGCGUUUGGAAAGGCGCGCGAUACAGGGUGACAGCCCCGUACACAAAAAUGCACAUGCUGUGAGCUCGAUGAGUAGGGCGGGACACGUGGUAUCCUGUCUGAAUAUGGGGGGACCAUCCUCCAAGGCUAAAUACUCCUGACUGACCGAUAGUGAACCAGUACCGUGAGGGAAAGGCGAAAAGAACCCCGGCGAGGGGAGUGAAAAAGAACCUGAAACCGUGUACGUACAAGCAGUGGGAGCACAGAGCAAUCUGUGUGACUGCGUACCUUUUGUAUAAUGGGUCAGCGACUUAUAUUCUGUAGCAAGGUUAACCGAAUAGGGGAGCCGAAGGGAAACCGAGUCUUAACUGGGCGUUAAGUUGCAGGGUAUAGACCCGAAACCCGGUGAUCUAGCCAUGGGCAGGUUGAAGGUUGGGUAACACUAACUGGAGGACCGAACCGACUAAUGUUGAAAAAUUAGCGGAUGACUUGUGGCUGGGGGUGAAAGGCCAAUCAAACCGGGAGAUAGCUGGUUCUCCCCGAAAGCUAUUUAGGUAGCGCCUCGUGAAUUCAUCUCCGGGGGUAGAGCACUGUUUCGGCAAGGGGGUCAUCCCGACUUACCAACCCGAUGCAAACUGCGAAUACCGGAGAAUGUUAUCACGGGAGACACACGGCGGGUGCUAACGUCCGUCGUGAAGAGGGAAACAACCCAGACCGCCAGCUAAGGUCCCAAAGUCAUGGUUAAGUGGGAAACGAUGUGGGAAGGCCCAGACAGCCAGGAUGUUGGCUUAGAAGCAGCCAUCAUUUAAAGAAAGCGUAAUAGCUCACUGGUCGAGUCGGCCUGCGCGGAAGAUGUAACGGGGCUAAACCAUGCACCGAAGCUGCGGCAGCGACACUGUGUGUUGUUGGGUAGGGGAGCGU
This 1208-nucleotide ribosomal RNA is filed under the name Escherichia coli. RNAcentral describes it as "partial 23S ribosomal RNA". It matches the Rfam family "Bacterial large subunit ribosomal RNA", at positions 1 to 1239 of the family's 2925-position model. The record is from RNAcentral. Lineage: Bacteria; Pseudomonadati; Pseudomonadota; Gammaproteobacteria; Enterobacterales; Enterobacteriaceae.